AAAAUCCUCAUGAUCCAAACACCCAGUCCUCUCUGGGUCAGAAGAGAGCUGAUCUCAAAGCAUUGUAGAGGCACUAGUGGGAUAGCCAACAAAAAGAGUCAGAAGAUGGAAUGCUGUGUGUUAAGGAACAAUAACCGGGCCAGCAUUACUGGAGUAUCGAGUAUGUGGAGACAUGAAAGGACAGGGGAGCUAGCAAUAGUGUUUGCCAAAAAGAAGAAAUGAAAAAAAGGUUAUUGAACCAUUUUGAAAAAUGCACAAAAAAAGAGAACAGAAGGAAGGUCAGUAGAACACAAAUAAGCAGGACAGUUGAAAGAGUGACACGCUGAAUUUAUUAUACAAAAAAAAAUCAAAUUGGACAUAACAGAGACUUUGAAGUUUCACCUAUCUUUUUUCUGUUCUACUUUAUAUACAGAA
Molecule: non-coding RNA, 414 nt
Organism: Phascolarctos cinereus (koala)
Lineage: Eukaryota; Metazoa; Chordata; Mammalia; Diprotodontia; Phascolarctidae
Source: RefSeq, a predicted model, not a curated record